AGCAGCCGCGGUAAUUCCAGCUCCAAUAGCGUAUAUUAAAGUUGUUGCAGUUAAAAAGCUCGUAGUUGAAUUUCGGGGUCAGUAGGUUGGUCAUGCCUCCGGUAUGUACUGGUCUCACUGAUUCCUCCUUCCUGAUGAGCCGUAAUGCCAUUAAUUUGGUGUUGCGGGGAGACUGGACUGUUACUUUGAAAAAUUAGAGUGUUUAAAGCAGGCUAACGCUUGAAUACAUUAGCAUGGAAUAAUGAAAUAGGACGUUCGAUCCUAUUUUGUUGGUUUCUAGGAUUGACGUAAUGAUUAAUAGGGAUAGUUGGGGGCAUUAGUAUUCAAUUGUCAGAGGUGAAAUUCUUGGAUUUAUUGAAGACUAACUACUGCGAAAGCAUUUGCCAAGGAUGUUUUCAUUAAUCAAGAACGAAAGUUAGGGGAUCGAAGACGAUCAGAUACCGUCGUAGU
Molecule: ribosomal RNA, 450 nt
Filed under: uncultured Glomeromycotina
Lineage: Eukaryota; Fungi; Glomeromycota
Description: SSU rRNA
Rfam family: Eukaryotic small subunit ribosomal RNA
Source: RNAcentral